This 274-nucleotide ribosomal RNA is filed under the name uncultured bacterium. Its description in RNAcentral is "partial 16S ribosomal RNA". It matches the Rfam family "Bacterial small subunit ribosomal RNA", at positions 523 to 796 of the family's 1533-position model. The record is from RNAcentral.
AUACGAAGGGCCCAAGCGUUAUUCGGAAUCACUGGGCUUAAAGCGUACGUAGGCGGAUAUGCAGGCAUCGGGUGAAAUCCCUCGGCUCAACCGAGGAACUGCUCGGUGAACCGCAUGUCUUGAGACAGGUAGAGGUUGUCGGAACGCUAGGUGGAGUGGUGAAAUGCGUUGAUAUCUAGCGGAACGCCAAAGGAGAAAGCAGGCAACUGGGCCUGUUCUGACGCUGAGGUACGAAAGCGUGGGGAGCGAACGGGAUUAGAAACCCCAGUAGUCC